AAAAUACGGGAGGCAGCAGUGAGGAAUAUUGGUCAAUGGGCGAGAGCCUGAACCAGCCAAGUAGCGUGCGGGAUGAAGGCCCUUGUGGUCGUAAACCGCUUUUAUCAGUGAAUAAAGUGCACCACGUGUGGUGUCAUUGCAGGUAGCUGAAGAAAAAGGACCGGCUAAUUCCGUGCCAGCAGCCGCGGUAAUUUUU
RNAcentral lists this ribosomal RNA (196 nucleotides) under uncultured bacterium. RNAcentral's name for it is "partial 16S ribosomal RNA". It matches the Rfam family "Bacterial small subunit ribosomal RNA", at positions 333 to 528 of the family's 1533-position model. The record is from RNAcentral.